This 204-nucleotide ribosomal RNA is filed under the name uncultured bacterium. Its description in RNAcentral is "partial 16S ribosomal RNA". It matches the Rfam family "Bacterial small subunit ribosomal RNA", at positions 328 to 538 of the family's 1533-position model. The record is from RNAcentral.
ACGCUCGACAUCUACGGGAGUCAGCAGUUGGGAAUAUUGGACAAUGGAGGAAACUCUGAUCCAGUGACGCCGCGUGAAGGAAGAAGGUCUUCGGAUUGUAAACUUAUUUUGUCAGGGAAGAAAAAAUGACUGUACCUGAAGAAAAAGCACCGGCUAACUACGUGCUAGCAGCCGCGGUAAUCUGAGGCGGGCGUGGACGAAGGC